ACUAGGUCACUUAACUUAGUUCUGUAACUGGAAACUCCAUAUUUAAACACGAGGAGCGUUAAAGGAGGACAGGACUCCUAACUCUCUCAUCAUAGGCAAGGAGAACAUUUGGUCUUUACUAAAAUAUGAUGCAUUCAGUGUGAGCCACAAAAGUGUCCAGGGCUCACCUGUAACUUCUGUUAAACUGCAGUGACACCUCUGAGCUGUGGAGAUCUCUGGGGGGAGACCCCUUGCUUGCCACUCAAGUCCUACAAGUGCUAAUAGAGAAGAUAAAGACUCCAACAAGAACAGAAGGCAGCAUCACCUCAGAGACAGAAAUUGACAGGCAUUUGGCAGCUGCUGAACCUCUCUCAGCAACAUGUGCCAUCUUGGAGGUGGUGUCAGCCCUGCAGUCGAGCAAAGCUGUGCAGGAACUGCUCCCAGAGUUGUUUCCUGUUCUCCUGCAGCAGGUCAGCCAAACCCUCGGACAAAAGGUGCCUUUGCCAACAAUAAGCAGCCUGAGGCGAUUCUGAAAAGGACUACAACUUACUGAGGGCAACCCUUGCCCGCUUUCUAUCAAAGCAUUAGAGUCUGUGCUUUUCAAGGGUGGGAAUGAGAGACUGGUGAGAGCGCUCAGGAAGCAGAGGACUUGGAUUCUUCUGGAAAACCCCAAGACUCACCAUGAGGGAGUGUGUCUGCUGGUGAGUCUUCUGCUAAGAUCUGGACUCAUAACACCUGAGAUCAUACAGAGCCUCCUCCCCUGGGUGAAUUCCCCCACAGAAAACCACCGAGUCACCAGCACAGCUUUCCUUGCCCAGGU
This is a long non-coding RNA of Chelonia mydas (Green sea turtle), 799 nucleotides long. RefSeq lists it as uncharacterized. Lineage: Eukaryota; Metazoa; Chordata; Testudines; Cheloniidae. The transcript is spliced from 4 exons. The record is from RefSeq and is a predicted model, not a curated record.